GAUGAAGACGUAGCGAAAUGCGAUAAGUAAUGUGAAUUGCAGAAUUCAGUGAAUCAUCGAAUCUUUGAACGCACCUUGCGCCCUUUGGCCAUUCCGAAGGGCAUGCCUGUUUGAGUAUCAUGAACACCUCAACUCUUCAUGGUUUUCCGUGAUGAGCUUGGACUUUGGGGGUCUUGCUGGCCUAUGGUCAGCUCCUCUAAAAUAAAUCAGCUUGCCAGUGUUUGGUGGGUAUCACAGGUGUGAUAACUAUCUACGCUUGUGGUUUUCCACCAGGUAACCUUCAGCAGUGGAGGUUCGCUGGAGCUCACAGAUGUGUCUCUCCUCAGUGAGGACAGCUCUUUGAAUGUUUGAUCUCAAAUCAGGUAGGACUACCCGCUGAACUUAAGCAUAUCAAUAAGCGGAGGA
This 405-nucleotide unclassified non-coding RNA is filed under the name soil metagenome. RNAcentral's name for it is "partial contains 5.8S ribosomal RNA, internal transcribed spacer 2, and large subunit ribosomal RNA". The stretch from base 1 to 120 matches the Rfam family "5.8S ribosomal RNA", at positions 35 to 154 of the family's 154-position model. The record is from RNAcentral.